This 301-nucleotide ribosomal RNA is filed under the name uncultured bacterium. RNAcentral describes it as "partial 16S ribosomal RNA". It matches the Rfam family "Bacterial small subunit ribosomal RNA", at positions 509 to 807 of the family's 1533-position model. The record is from RNAcentral.
CAGCCGCCGCGGGAAAACGUAAGGUGCAAGCGUUAAUCGGAAUUACUGGGCGUAAAGCGCACGCAGGCGGUCUGUCAAGUCGGAUGUGAAAUCCCCGGGCUCAACCUGGGAACUGCAUUCGAAACUGGCAGGCUAGAGUCUUGUAGAGGGGGGUAGAAUUCCAGGUGUAGCGGUGAAAUGCGUAGAGAUCUGGAGGAAUACCGGUGGCGAAGGCGGCCCCCUGGACAAAGACUGACGCUCAGGUGCGAAAGCGUGGGGAGCAAACAGGAUUAGAUACCCCGGUAGUCCCUGUCUCUUAUAC